CUUGCUACCUUCAGCCCGUUGAUCUAAUUUUCUCCUAACAACAGAAAGGCUCCUUCACUGUGAGAUAGAAAACAGCACAACCUUCCUGCACGCUGGAUGUCUCACAGUGCCGAUCUCUCAGAAGUCCUGGGACGUGACGAUGCCAUGUUGUGCUCUCCUUAACGCAUUGUUGAAUCAAAUGUGCUACAGUUACGAAGUCAUUUGACUUUCUUGAGCUAUACGCUUUAGAAGUGACGACGACUCUGACGGGCUCCGGCUUUGGGGCAGAUUUCUACUGAAUUGCUGAAAAUGAUGUAGUCUUCUAAAGGAAAACGUGAACACGCUUGAGCAGCAGAACACAAAUGACAAAAAUGAAACAGGAAGCAGAUGGCGUACUCAAAAUAGAGUAUUUCGAAGAGAUUUCUUUACACAGAGACUACUGAUGGAGAUGUGGAUGAGCCUCAUAUUGACUGGGAGCGGCCAAGCUGUUAGCUUCCUGAAGGAGAUGAAGAAAGUUGUGGCCGUGCCUCCAAGAAUGAGCUGAGGGUGC
Molecule: long non-coding RNA, 529 nt
Filed under: Felis catus (domestic cat)
Lineage: Eukaryota; Metazoa; Chordata; Mammalia; Carnivora; Felidae
Description: lncRNA (ENSFCAG00000053371.1)
Source: RNAcentral